Molecule: ribosomal RNA, 253 nt
Filed under: uncultured bacterium
Lineage: Bacteria
Description: partial 16S ribosomal RNA
Rfam family: Bacterial small subunit ribosomal RNA
Source: RNAcentral
UACGUAGGGUGCGAGCGUUGUCCGGAAUUAUUGGGCGUAAAGGGCUCGUAGGCGGUUUGUCGCGUCGGGAGUGAAAACACCGGGCUUAACUCGGUGCUUGCUUUCGAUACGGGCAGACUAGAGGCAUGCAGGGGAGAACGGAAUUCCUGGUGUAGCGGUGAAAUGCGCAGAUAUCAGGAGGAACACCGGUGGCGAAGGCGGGUCUCUGGGCCAUAACUGACGCUGAGGAGCGAAAGCGUGGGGAGCGAACAGG